RNAcentral lists this microRNA (21 nucleotides) under Citrus sinensis (sweet orange). RNAcentral's name for it is "csi-miR399f-3p". Its record names the gene csi-miR399f-3p. The record is from miRBase by way of RNAcentral. Lineage: Eukaryota; Viridiplantae; Streptophyta; Magnoliopsida; Sapindales; Rutaceae. RNAcentral also lists the same sequence under 1 other name.
CGCCAAAGGAGAAUUGCCCUG